Molecule: long non-coding RNA, 413 nt
Filed under: Ananas comosus (pineapple)
Lineage: Eukaryota; Viridiplantae; Streptophyta; Magnoliopsida; Poales; Bromeliaceae
Description: long non-coding RNA (ACOM_LNC017436)
Source: RNAcentral
UCGUAUACAGGGGAAAUUCCUUUGAAUACGGCGGAUUUGUCGGCGUACCCGGGGAACGUGUAAUUCGGGGCGUGACAGAUGAAGUUGGUAUCAGAGUUUUGUUAUAGGUCAUUGGGACCUAGAAACCCUAAGUUGGCAAACCUUAGGAAAGCAAGACGCGAGAGGCGUAAUUUAUUGCGAAAGUCAAUAAUUAGUUGUUUUAACUCUUCCUAGAGUGGAGUGAGUGAUUGAAGGAGUACCUAUUUUGGUCUGAGAAAUUAUGUUGGCUGCAGACGACAUAGUUUUGGAAGGAAACAGGGACCGCCUUCCAGACUUUCGUUGAUUGGGUCAAGAGUGUUUGUGUUUCAACUGACCCCGAUCUGUUCCUUUCAGCUAUGUAUCGUCGCCGAGGUCGACCGUCGUUGCGGGAGCGU